UCUAUGAUGAAAUCAAUUCCAUGAAUUUUAUUGAUUUAUAUAUUUGUCCUCUAAGAAGAACUGAGAAG
Small nucleolar RNA from Nilaparvata lugens (brown planthopper), 68 nucleotides. RefSeq annotates it as small nucleolar RNA SNORD61. Lineage: Eukaryota; Metazoa; Arthropoda; Insecta; Hemiptera; Delphacidae. The transcript has a single exon. The record is from RefSeq and is a predicted model, not a curated record.